GAGUGGCGAACGGGUGAGUAACACGUGGACAACCUGCCUCAAGGCUGGGGAUAACAUUUGGAAACAGAUGCUAAUACCGAAUAAAACUUAGUGUCGCAUGACAAAAAGUUAAAAGGCGCUUCGGCGUCACCUAGAGAUGGAUCCGCGGUGCAUUAGUUAGUUGGUGGGGUAAAGGCCUACCAAGACAAUGAUGCAUAGCCGAGUUGAGAGACUGAUCGGCCACAUUGGGACUGAGACACGGCCCAAACUCCUACGGGAGGCUGCAGUAGGGAAUCUUCCACAAUGGGCGAAAGCCUGAUGGAGCAACGCCGCGUGUGUGAUGAAGGCUUUCGGGUCGUAAAGCACUGUUGUAUGGGAAGAACAGCUAGAAUAGGAAAUGAUUUUAGUUUGACGGUACCAUACCAGAAAGGGACGGCUAAAUACGUGCCAGCAGCCGCGGUAAUACGUAUGUCCCGAGCGUUAUCCGGAUUUAUUGGGCGUAAAGCGAGCGCAGACGGUUUAUUAAGUCUGAUGUGAAAGCCCGGAGCUCAACUCCGGAAUGGCAUUGGAAACUGGUUAACUUGAGUGCAGUAGAGGUAAGUGGAACUCCAUGUGUA
RNAcentral lists this ribosomal RNA (596 nucleotides) under Leuconostoc mesenteroides. RNAcentral's name for it is "bacterial SSU rRNA". It matches the Rfam family "Bacterial small subunit ribosomal RNA", at positions 93 to 677 of the family's 1533-position model. The record is from RNAcentral. Lineage: Bacteria; Bacillati; Bacillota; Bacilli; Lactobacillales; Lactobacillaceae.